AGAAAAAGAGCCUGUCAAGUUAGCCAAGGAGUGACUGCCUAAUAAGCCAAACAAGGUGUUAUAACUUACUAUCACCUUGUCUUGAUUUAAGGCAAGUCAUCCUUGGCUACCAAACAAGACACUCCUCUUC
Molecule: microRNA precursor, 130 nt
Filed under: Helianthus annuus (common sunflower)
Lineage: Eukaryota; Viridiplantae; Streptophyta; Magnoliopsida; Asterales; Asteraceae
Source: RNAcentral